RNAcentral lists this ribosomal RNA (301 nucleotides) under uncultured bacterium. RNAcentral's name for it is "partial 16S ribosomal RNA". It matches the Rfam family "Bacterial small subunit ribosomal RNA", at positions 509 to 807 of the family's 1533-position model. The record is from RNAcentral.
CAGUAGCCGCGGUAAAACGUAGGUGGCAAGCGUUGUCCGGAAUUAUUGGGCGUAAAGGGCUCGCAGGCGGUUUCUUAAGUCUGAUGUGAAAGCCCCCGGCUCAACCGGGGAGGGUCAUUGGAAACUGGGAAACUUGAGUGCAGAAGAGGAGAGUGGAAUUCCACGUGUAGCGGUGAAAUGCGUAGAGAUGUGGAGGAACACCAGUGGCGAUGGCGACUCUCUGGUCUGUAGCUGACGCUGAGGAGCGAAAGCGUGGGGAGCGAACAGGAUUAGAUACCCCAGUAGUCCCUGUCUCUUAUAC